GAUGAACGCUGGCGGCGUGCCUAAUACAUGCAAGUCGAGCGAACAGACGAGGAGCUUACUCCUCUGACGUUAGCGGCGGACGGGUGAGUAACACGUGGAUAACCUACCUAUAAGACUGGAAAAAUUUGGGGAACCGGGAGCAAUUCCGGGAUAACAUGUUGAACCGCUGGGUUCAACGGUGAAGGACGGUUUUUCUGUAACUUAUGGUUGGUUCCGCGUCGCAUUAGCUGGUUGGUAAGGUAACGGCUUACCAAGGCAACGAUGCGUAGCCGACCUGAGAGGGUGAUCGGCCACACUGGAACUGAGACACGGUCCAGACUCCUACGGGAGGCAGCAGUAGGGAAUCUUCCGCAAUGGGCGAAAGCCUGACGGAGCAACGCCGCGUGAGUGAAGAAGGUCUUCGGAUCGUAAAACUCUGUUAUUAGGGAAGAACAAAUGUGUAAGUAACUAUGCACGUCUUGACGGUACCUAAUCAGAAAGCCACGGCUAACUACGUG
RNAcentral lists this ribosomal RNA (497 nucleotides) under uncultured bacterium. RNAcentral's name for it is "partial 16S ribosomal RNA". It matches the Rfam family "Bacterial small subunit ribosomal RNA", at positions 28 to 507 of the family's 1533-position model. The record is from RNAcentral.